UAGUCAUAUGCUUGUCUCAGAGAUUAAGCCAUGCAUGUCUAAGUAUAAGCGAUCUUAUACAGCGAAACUGCGAAUGGCUCAUUAAAUCAGUUAUAGUCUACUUGAUCGUAUCUUCUUACAUGGAUAACCGUAGUAAAUCUAGAGCUAAUACAUGCUAAAAAUCCCGGACGCGGCAACGCGGAAGGGACGAGUUUAUUAGAUUAAAAACCGACACCUCUCCGCGAGGGGAGGUAGCACAGGUGAUUCACAGUAACCGAUCGGAUCGUCGGCCCCGCCGACGACGAUGCAUACGAGUUUCUGCCCUAUCAACUUUAGAUGGUAGAGUAUCGGUCUACCAUGGUCGUAACGGGUGACGGGGGAUUAGGGUUCGAUUCCGGAGAGGGAGCCUGAGAAACGGCUACCACUUCCAAGGAAGGCAGCAGGCGCGCAAAUUACCCAAUCCCGACACGGGGAGGUAGUGACAAGAAAUACCAUUGUAAUGUCUCCUCGAGAGGCUUACGAUUGGAAUGAGUACAAUUUAAAUCCCUUAACGAGUAACGAUU
RNAcentral lists this ribosomal RNA (542 nucleotides) under uncultured eukaryote. RNAcentral describes it as "SSU rRNA". It matches the Rfam family "Eukaryotic small subunit ribosomal RNA", at positions 21 to 549 of the family's 1831-position model. The record is from RNAcentral.